CCCAGAGGUAUUGAUGGGUGAACAUCAAAGUUUUUGAUUACACCAGCCUGCGCGGAAGCGCAGGUUUUUUUU
Molecule: small RNA, 72 nt
Filed under: Tatumella ptyseos ATCC 33301
Lineage: Bacteria; Pseudomonadati; Pseudomonadota; Gammaproteobacteria; Enterobacterales; Erwiniaceae
Description: OmrA-B family
Rfam family: OmrA-B family
Source: Rfam by way of RNAcentral